RNAcentral lists this ribosomal RNA (187 nucleotides) under uncultured rumen bacterium. RNAcentral's name for it is "partial 16S ribosomal RNA". It matches the Rfam family "Bacterial small subunit ribosomal RNA", at positions 340 to 524 of the family's 1533-position model. The record is from RNAcentral.
UACGGGAGGCAGCAGUGAGGAAUAUUGGUCAAUGGGCGCGAGCCUGAACCAGCCAAGUAGCGUGCAGGACGACUGCCCUAUGGGUUGUAAACUGCUUUUAUCAGGGAAUAAAGUGAGGCACGUGUGCCUUUUUGUAUGUACCUGAUGAAUAAGGACCGGCUAAUUCCGUGCCAGCAGCCGCGGUAAU